UAGGGAAUCUUCGGCAAUGGACGAAAGUCUGACCGAGCAACGCCGCGGGAGUGAAGAAGGAUUUCGGAUCGUAAAACUCUGUUGUUAGAGAAGAACAAGGACGUUAGUAACUGAACGUCCCCUGACGGUAUCUAACCAGAAAGCCACGGCUAACUACGUGCCAGCAGCCGCGGUAAUACGUAGGUGGCAAGCGUUGUCCGGAUUUAUUGGGCGUAAAGCGAGCGCAGGCGGUUUCUUAAGUCUGAUGUGAAAGCCCCCGGCUCAACCGGGGAGGGUCAUUGGAAACUGGGAGACUUGAGUGCAGAAGAGGGGAGUGGAAUUCCAUGUGUAGCGGUGAACUGCGUAGAGAUAUGGAGGAACACCAGUGGCGAAGGCGGCUCGCUGGUCUGUAACUGACGCUGAGGCUCGAAAGCGUGGGGAGCAAACAGG
RNAcentral lists this ribosomal RNA (429 nucleotides) under Gemmatimonadota bacterium. RNAcentral describes it as "Gemmatimonadetes bacterium partial 16S ribosomal RNA". It matches the Rfam family "Bacterial small subunit ribosomal RNA", at positions 355 to 776 of the family's 1533-position model. Lineage: Bacteria; Pseudomonadati; Gemmatimonadota. The record is from RNAcentral.